This is a long non-coding RNA of Pundamilia nyererei, 935 nucleotides long. RefSeq lists it as uncharacterized. The record is from RefSeq and is a predicted model, not a curated record. The transcript has 3 exons. NCBI's taxonomy places the organism in Eukaryota, Metazoa, Chordata, Actinopteri, Cichliformes, Cichlidae.
UACAGAACAAGGAUGGGUAUACUUCAGGGGUGAUUUUUAUUACAUUUCUCAUAUUAAAAAGUCCUGGAGUGACAGCAGAGAGGACUGUUUGCAAAGAGGUGCAGACCUGGUGAUUAUCAGCAGCACAGAGGAACAGAACUUCAUAAGGCUGUUCAGGCGUAACACGUGGAUCGGACUGAGUGACACAGAGGAAGAGGGGACGUGGAAGUGGGUGGACGGGAGUUUGCUGAACAGCAGUUUCAGAUACUGGCGAACCGGGGAGCCCAACAGCCUUGGAGACGAAGACUGUGGCGUGAUGGCAGCCAAUGACGAAGAAAACUGCUGGAAUGACGCAAACUGCAGAGAUGAAAACUUUUGGAUCUGUGAAAAAAAGGUGGAACAGUGAUCAGUAGCAGGAAAAUUGUUCCAUCACAUACAGAUGUUAACAUGUUUGUCUCGACUGCUGGCUUGCUAGGUUGUGGAAAAUCCUUUGAAUUGAUAAUUUGUGAGUCUUUUAUAUCUGCUUUUAAAUUCCUUAGGGAGACCUCUAAAGGGAAGUCUGCAGAGCAUGUAGAUGAAACCCUAUUUAUAAAUUGCUGUUAAACCUUAAGUUCCUGUUAUUAUUGUAUACUUACUAACACAUACAUAGAGUUCCACUAGCUGAUGCAAUUUUUAAAAUAAUUCAAAUGUUGAGAGAAUACCAAUAUAAUAGAUGAGAUUUUCUUUUAUAUUACAUUUAAAGUUCCGAAGUUCUCACUUUGUUGUUUGAAUAAACUCAGUUUUCUGGUUUUAACAUUUUGUUUAAUCAGGGUAUGCUGUUGUAGGCUAUUAAAGAACACUUCUUUGUUUCUGUUCCAUAACAGAAGCUAUAAAUGCUACUAAGCCAUCUUUUACAUAACAACGCUAAGCCCUGAGAUCAUAUUACUGUAAAUACAACAAGACAAAAGUCUCUGUAC